Molecule: ribosomal RNA, 210 nt
Filed under: uncultured bacterium
Lineage: Bacteria
Description: partial 16S ribosomal RNA
Rfam family: Bacterial small subunit ribosomal RNA
Source: RNAcentral
AUAACUACUGGAAACGGUAGCUAAUACCGCAUAACGUCGCAAGACCAAAGAGGGGGACCUUCGGGCCUCUUGCCAUCGGAUGUGCCCAGAUGGGAUUAGCUAGUAGGUGGGGUAAAGGCUCACCUAGGCGACGAUCCCUAGCUGGUCUGAGAGGAUGACCAGCCACACUGGAACUGAGACACGGUCCAGACUCCUACGGGAGGCAGCAUG